This 73-nucleotide transfer RNA is filed under the name Bos taurus (domestic cattle). It matches the Rfam family "tRNA". Rfam says of the family: Transfer RNA (tRNA) molecules are approximately 80 nucleotides in length. Their secondary structure includes four short double-helical elements and three loops (D, anti-codon, and T loops). Further hydrogen bonds mediate the characteristic L-shaped molecular structure. tRNAs have two regions of fundamental functional importance: the anti-codon, which is responsible for specific mRNA codon recognition, and the 3' end, to which the tRNAs corresponding amino acid is attached (by aminoacyl-tRNA synthetases). tRNAs cope with the degeneracy of the genetic code in two manners: having more than one tRNA (with a specific anti-codon) for a particular amino acid; and 'wobble' base-pairing, i.e. permitting non-standard base-pairing at the 3rd anti-codon position. RNAcentral also lists the same sequence under 4 other names. Lineage: Eukaryota; Metazoa; Chordata; Mammalia; Artiodactyla; Bovidae. The record is from Rfam by way of RNAcentral.
UCCCUGGCAGUCCAGUGGUUAGGAUUCUGUGUUUUCACCCCUGAGGGUCUGGGUUCAAUUCCUAGUCGGGGAC